RNAcentral lists this ribosomal RNA (467 nucleotides) under uncultured bacterium. RNAcentral describes it as "partial 16S ribosomal RNA". It matches the Rfam family "Bacterial small subunit ribosomal RNA", at positions 28 to 507 of the family's 1533-position model. The record is from RNAcentral.
GAUGAACGCUGGCGGCGUGCUUAACACAUGCAAGUCGAACGGAAAGGCUCCUGCUUGCCGGGGUACUCGAGUGGCGAACGGGUGAGUAACACGUGGGUGAUCUGCCCUGCACUUCGGGAUAAGCCUGGGAAACUGGGUCUAAUACCGGAUAGGACCACAUUUUGGAUGGUGUGGUGGAAAGUUUUUCGGUGUGGGAUGAGCUCGCGGCCUAUCAGCUUGUUGGUGGGGUAAUGGCCUACCAAGGCGUCGACGGGUAGCCGGCCUGAGAGGGUGUACGGCCACAUUGGGACUGAGAUACGGCCCAGACUCCUACGGGAGGCAGCAGUGGGGAAUAUUGCACAAUGGGCACAAGCCUGAUGCAGCGACGCCGCGUGGGGGAUGACGGCCUUCGGGUUGUAAACUCCUUUCGCUAGGGACGAAGCGUUUUUGUGACGGUACCUGGAGAAGAAGCACCGGCUAACUACGUG